UAUUAGAAAGCGAAAUUUAUCGCAUUUAGUUUCGACCUAAACUUUGGCCCCUUAGCCUCUAAUAA
RNAcentral lists this transfer RNA (65 nucleotides) under Thalamita sima. RNAcentral's name for it is "tRNA-Arg". RNAcentral also lists the same sequence under 1 other name. The record is from RNAcentral. Lineage: Eukaryota; Metazoa; Arthropoda; Malacostraca; Decapoda; Portunidae.